GGGUUGUGAGGUUAAGCGACUAAGCGUACACGGUGGAUGCCCUGGCAGUCAGAGGCGAUGAAGGGCGUGCUAAUCUGCGAUAAGCGCCGGUAAGGUGAUAUGAACCGUUAUAACCGGCGAUACCCGAAUGGGGAAACCCAGUGUGAUUCGUCACACUAUCAUUAACUGAAUCCAUAGGUUAAUGAGGCGAACCGGGGGAACUGAAACAUCUAAGUACCCCGAGGAAAAGAAAUCAACCGAGAUUCCCCCAGUAGCGGCGAGCGAACGGGGAGGAGCCCAGAGCCUGAAUCAGCAUGUGUGUUAGUGGAAGCGUCUGGAAAGGCGCGCGAUACAGGGUGACAGCCCCGUACACAAAAGCGCAUGUGCUGUGAGCUCGAUGAGUAGGGCGGGACACGUGGUAUCCUGUCUGAAUAUGGGGGGACCAUCCUCCAAGGCUAAAUACUCCUGACUGACCGAUAGUGAACCAGUACCGUGAGGGAAAGGCGAAAAGAACCCCGGCGAGGGGAGUGAAAAAGAACCUGAAACCGUGUACGUACAAGCAGUGGGAGCCCCACCACCAAAGCAUUCUCUGGUGUUGAAGGCCCUGCAAAGCAGCAUCGCGGUGGCGGAGCGUCGUUUGCGACGCCCAACACACAAAACAAGCGGUGAGUGCUUUGGGGUGGGGUGACUGCGUACCUUUUGUAUAAUGGGUCAGCGACUUAUAUUCUGUAGCAAGGUUAACCGAAUAGGGGAGCCGGAGGGAAACCGAGUCUUAAUUGGGCGUUAAGUUG
This 770-nucleotide ribosomal RNA is filed under the name Salmonella enterica subsp. enterica serovar Senftenberg. RNAcentral describes it as "partial 23S ribosomal RNA". It matches the Rfam family "Bacterial large subunit ribosomal RNA", at positions 1 to 702 of the family's 2925-position model. The record is from RNAcentral. Lineage: Bacteria; Pseudomonadati; Pseudomonadota; Gammaproteobacteria; Enterobacterales; Enterobacteriaceae.